GUGAAGAACUAAUAGUGAAAUGACUAAAAGGCCAUUACAGGGUAUGUGCACGCUGCUGACUGCAUUAGCUUGCUGUUUUCUUAGUGUUGAGUACUCAUCUUCUCACAGGUAGAAGUAAGGGAAGAGUUCCAGAGAGUUGAAUUUUCUGUCACUUUCACUGGGUAGUCCUGUAUCUACUGUGUAGCUACACUACGUGUAGCCCUGCUCUGAUGGAAGGCCUCAACUCUUACAUUACUCACAGAGUUAGAUUAGUAGUUUGAGGUCAUAAACUAGCAAGAAAAGUUCCUCCCCUAGAAAAAAAACAUACAGAGGAAGUAUUUCAGGGCCUGGGGGGAGGCAGGCUGGUCCUGCGGGAAUUGUUAACUUCCUGGGUCUGCUCAGAUACUCUGGAACAAAAACACACAAAAGCAAGACACCAAGGGAAUUUUUCCCUGAACGUUUCUGAGCACGUAGGGAAAUACAGUAACUGUGAAGCAAGCUUUGCAUACCUACAGCAGGAUCGAGCCUGAAGGCUGUCUGUUGGGCAAGCUCUGAGCAGCAGCCUGUCCUUUUAAAUGAAAACUUUUCUCAUGGAAACUCUUCUAUGAUUUCUAGUACAGCAGUGCACAAAUUUUACUGCUCGUGCUUAUGUAUGUGAGGCAAACAAAAACAAGUACACAGUUUUCACUGCCACUGCUGUGUGGUGACUGCUCAGACUGCAUAGCAUACAUUCAUAUCUAGAAACAGAGAUAAUCUUUAAAAUGGAAGGACACGGGUAACUUUCUAGUCAACAAAGCCCUUACAUAAGUCCUUUUUAAGUGCACGUUUGAAUGUCUGAGGAGUUAGACUAUGCCUGUAUUUAAUGCGCACAUGCCAUGCUGCAUCGAGCCUUAAAUUUCUGACUCCCAGUAGGUUUAUUGACUGUUUAUGCUCAACAUGCUGCAGAGUAAACAGAGCCAAAUCUCUGCAGCCAGUAAGCUGACCUGAAGUGUGUGAAUGACCCUGACUGCAGCAUGGGAUGGGGCACAGUGGUGUGAGAAGGGGAACCUCAAACACUGGGUGCAGAGCAUCUGAAUCACAAUGGCUGACCUGGUGAAGAGUGAGUCAUCUAAGGACAUUUCGGAAGGAGCUGCUGUUCCUCUGCAAGAAGCCAUUUUGAGGGGCGGAAAAAGCUAGUAUUUAGUAGCAACAUUUCAUAGCUCACUGCAUGUAGAAGAUCCCUUUUCUAAUUAGCUGUACCUAAAGCUACCUGUGUGCGUUGGCACGGAGUAUGGAGGGCAGAUGAGUGAGCGGAUGUGUUUCAGGAGUUUAUUGUCACUUAUGUGCCAACACAAGGAAACUCACUUCCUUAAAAGACAUCUGAAUAAAAUUCAAGUGUGUAAGUGGUAAAAAUUACUGAGCUCAACGCACAUCCCUGGGGAGUUGUUUUUAUAAAAGCUGAUGUGGGCAAUUCUGGUUUCACUUCCCCUCUUGGAUACACAAAAUAAGUCAACUCAUGACAAUAAUAUGGGCAGAGAUCAGAGAUUUUUCUUUUUCCUUAGAACCUAUAGGAGUACCCUAUCAUAUCCAUGUGCUGCUUCUACAAGUGCUCAGUUUGCCAAUAUCCAUCAUCUUGUAAAGAACAUCACAAUGCAAAAGAUUGAAUUGUAUUGGCAGCUUCCCAGCAACAAAGGGUGCCUGUGUUCAACAUAAAAUUGUGUUAUAUUGACUGACCAUUUAGAGGUUUUACUAGAAAAGUGCUUAACUUCAGGCAUACCCUGCCUUUGGAUACACUUCCUUAAUGCUGUACUGUGGACACUGGGCAACUAUUACACAUUCUGCUUCCCCAGCACCAGUGCAAACCAGUAAGAAAUUAGCAUGUGUCCCCAGUUUGCUGGCAGCAGACUUUCCCUCUGAGUUCUUUACACGGGUAGUAGUGUGGUGAAACUGCCACAUGUGAGUUUGCAUGAAUCUGCUCAAUUCAAUAUGCUAUUCUGUUAAUUUUAAGAGUUCCAAGAAGCAUUUCUGUAUCCUGUUUCAUUGUUCAACAUUACCUUGUAUGAAUUAGGUAGAUAGAAAUAAUUGCAGUAUGGUACUCAAGUGUUAAUGAAUGAAAUACUUGGAGCUAAUGUUGCACUGAAACUGAGCUGACUCAGUUGUAUAAACUGG
Gallus gallus (chicken) is the source of this 2127-nucleotide long non-coding RNA. NCBI's taxonomy places the organism in Eukaryota, Metazoa, Chordata, Aves, Galliformes, Phasianidae. The record is from Ensembl.